GACGAACGCUGGCGGCGUGCCUAAUACAUGCAAGCUGAGCGCUGAAGGUUGGUACUUGUACCAACUGGAUGAGCAGCGAACGGGUGAGUAACGCGUGGGGAAUCUGCCUUUGAGCGGGGGACAACAUUUGGAAACGAAUGCUAAUACCGCAUAAAAACUUUAAACACAAGUUUUAAGUUUGAAAGAUGCAAUUGCAUCACUCAAAGAUGAUCCCGCGUUGUAUUAGCUAGUUGGUGAGGUAAAGGCUCACCAAGGCGAUGAUACAUAGCCGACCUGAGAGGGUGAUCGGCCACAGUGGGACUGAGACACGGCCCAAACUCCUACGGGAGGCAGCAGUAGGGAAUCUUCGGCAAUGGACGAAAGUCUGACCGAGCAACGCCGCGUGAGUGAAGAAGGUUUUCGGAUCGUAAAACUCUGUUGGUAGAGAAGAACGUUGGUGAGAGUGGAAAGCUCAUCAAGUGACGGUAACUACCCAGAAAGGGACGGCUAACUACGUGCCAGCAGCCGCAGUAA
This 513-nucleotide ribosomal RNA is filed under the name uncultured bacterium. RNAcentral describes it as "partial 16S ribosomal RNA". It matches the Rfam family "Bacterial small subunit ribosomal RNA", at positions 28 to 523 of the family's 1533-position model. The record is from RNAcentral.